GGGCGUAAAGCGUGCGCAGGCGGUUAUGUAAGACAGAUGUGAAAUCCCCGGGCUUAACCUGGGAACUGCAUUUGUGACUGCAUAGCUAGAGUACGGUAGAGGGGGAUGGAAUUCCGCGUGUAGCAGUGAAAUGCGUAGAUAUGCGGAGGAACACCGAUGGCGAAGGCAAUCCCCUGGACCUGUACUGACGCUCAUGCACGAAAGCGUGGGGAGCAAACAGGAUUAGAUACCCUGGUAGUCCACGCCCUAAACGAUGUCAACUGGUUGUUGGGUCUUCACUGACUCAGUAACGACUAACGCGUGAAGUUGACCGCCUGGGGAGUACGGCC
Molecule: ribosomal RNA, 329 nt
Filed under: uncultured bacterium
Lineage: Bacteria
Description: bacterial SSU rRNA
Rfam family: Bacterial small subunit ribosomal RNA
Source: RNAcentral